GACGAACGCUGGCGGCAUGCCUAACACGUGCAAGUCGAGCGAGCUGAUUCCUUCGGGAUGAAGCUGGCGGCGGACGGGUGAGUAACACGUGGGCAACCUGCCUCAUAGAGGGGAAUAGCCUUCCGAAAGGAAGAUUAAUACCGCAUAAGAUUGCAUCUUCGCAUGAAGAAGCAAUUAAAGGAGCAAUCCGCUAUGAGAUGGGCCCGCGGCGCAUUAGCUAGUUGGUGAGGUAACGGCUCACCAAGGCGACGAUGCGUAGCCGACCUGAGAGGGUGAUCGGCCACAUUGGGACUGAGACACGGCCCAGACUCCUACGGGAGGCAGCAGUGGGGAAUAUUGCACAAUGGGGGAAACCCUGAUGCAGCAAUGCCGCGUGAGUGAUGACGGCCUUCGGGUUGUAAAGCUCUGUCUUCGGGGACGAUAAUGACGGUACCCGAGGAGGAAGCCACGGCUAACUACGUGCCAGCCGCCGCGGUAA
RNAcentral lists this ribosomal RNA (478 nucleotides) under uncultured bacterium. RNAcentral describes it as "partial 16S ribosomal RNA". It matches the Rfam family "Bacterial small subunit ribosomal RNA", at positions 28 to 523 of the family's 1533-position model. The record is from RNAcentral.